This 726-nucleotide long non-coding RNA is filed under the name Gopherus agassizii (Agassiz's desert tortoise). RNAcentral's name for it is "lncRNA (ENSGAGG00000008022.1)". Lineage: Eukaryota; Metazoa; Chordata; Testudines; Testudinidae. The record is from RNAcentral.
AGUGCCCCGCCCAGCAUACAGUAUAAAUACAGUGCUCAGCCUUGCCAUCUCCCACAGAGCGUGCCAGACCAGAAACAACUCCGCUCCAGAGAGAGUAAAGACGCAAAGAUGAAGGUGUCAUAUGUGGCCGCUUUCCUCAUCGGGCUCCUCUCCCUGGAGAGCACCAGAGCGGCUCCGUUGUUGUGGUCUGUGGGCUCUGGUAGCGUAAAGACCGGUGACGUGGGCCACGGCAGCUUUAACGACAACAGCAAAAACAACAAAUUCUGGUCAGUGGGCUCUGGUAGCGUAAAGACUGGUGACGUGGGCCACGGCAGCUUUAACGACAACAGCAAAAACAACCAAUUCUGGUCAGUGGACUCUGGUAGCGUAAACACCGGUAACGUGGGCCACGGCAGCUUUAACGACAACAGUAUAAACAACAAAUUCUUGCCAGUGAAAAACAACAAAUUCUGGUCAGUGGGCUCUGGUAGCGUAAACACUGGAGACGUGGGCCACGGCAGCUUUAACGACAACAGUAUAAACAACAAAAUCUUGCCAGUGAAAAAGAACAAAUUCUGGUCAGUGGGCUCUGGGAGCGUAAACACCGGUGACGUGGGCCACGGCAGCUUUAACGACAACAGCAAAAACAACAAAUUCUGGUCAGUGGACUCUGGUAGCGUAAACACCGGUGACGUAGGCCAUGGCAGCUUUAACGACAACAGCAAAAACAACAAAUUAUGCUUAGUG